This 813-nucleotide ribosomal RNA is filed under the name uncultured Actinomycetes bacterium. RNAcentral's name for it is "bacterial SSU rRNA". It matches the Rfam family "Bacterial small subunit ribosomal RNA", at positions 91 to 918 of the family's 1533-position model. Lineage: Bacteria; Bacillati; Actinomycetota; Actinomycetes. The record is from RNAcentral.
UCUAGUGGCGAACGGGUGAGUAGCACGUGAGCAACCUGCCCCGAAGACCGGGACAACACCGGGAAACCGGUGCUAAUACCGGAUACCCCCACCGAGCCGCAUGGCCUGGUGAGGAAAUGGAUUCCGCUUCGGGAGGGGCUCGCGGCCUAUCAGCUUGUUGGUGAGGUAACGGCUCACCAAGGCGUCGACGGGUAGCUGGUCUGAGAGGACGAUCAGCCACACUGGGACUGAGACACGGCCCAGACUCCUACGGGAGGCAGCAGUGGGGAAUCUUGCACAAUGGGCGCAAGCCUGAUGCAGCAACGCCGCGUGAGGGACGAAGGCUUUCUGAGUUGUAAACCUCUUUCAGCAGGGACGAUUAUGACGGUACCUGCAGAAGAAGCCCCGGCCAACUACGUGCCAGCAGCCGCGGUAAUACGUAGGGGGCAAGCGUUGUCCGGAUUUAUUGGGCGUAAAGAGCUCGUAGGCGGCUUGGCAAGUCGGAUGUGAAACCUCCAGGCUCAACCUGGAGCCGCCAUUCGAUACUGCCAUGGCUAGAGUUUGGUAGGGGACCACGGAAUUCCUGGUGUAGCGGUGAAAUGCGCAGAUAUCAGGAGGAACACCAGCGGCGAAGGCGGUGGUCUGGGCCAAUACUGACGCUGAGGAGCGAAAGCGUGGGGAGCGAACAGGAUUAGAUACCCUGGUAGUCCACGCCGUAAACGUUGGGCACUAGGUGUGGGGACCUAUCGACGGUUUCUGUGCCGCAGCUAACGCAUUAAGUGCCCCGCCUGGGGAGUACGGCCGCAAGGCUAAAACUCAAAGGAAUUGACGGGG